Molecule: RNA transcript, 1698 nt
Organism: Pogonomyrmex barbatus (red harvester ant)
Lineage: Eukaryota; Metazoa; Arthropoda; Insecta; Hymenoptera; Formicidae
Gene name: dnaJ homolog subfamily B member 6-B
Source: RefSeq, a predicted model, not a curated record
AGUUACGAAUAAAUAUCUAGAUAGGAUGUUUGUAUAAAAAGUAUCUAACUUCAGACGUGAAGGCACACCUGAAGCCAAGCAUAUAGUCGUUUAUUGUACCAGCUAUCACAAUCUAGAAAAAUCGAAACGCCAUCCACAUUGGAUAUCGAAAGCUUUGUUUGAGGCAAUUUCACGAUAUUCCUGCGUUUUUCUACUUUUAUUCGCGAAUGUAUGCUUCCUUUCCGAUCAAGAGGCAAAAACGGUUUACCUUGGAAAUUUAAAAUCGAUCGACAAGUGUGAUUGGCGAUUAACGUUAACAUAUAACAAAAAGGAGCUAUUUUCGGUGGUUCCCAAAGUCCUGAUUCAUUUCUGAGCGUAUCGAACAAUGGUGGAUUAUUACAAAGUACUGGAAAUACAGCGAAAUUCCAGCAGUGUUGAUAUUAAAAAAGCAUAUAGAAAGUUGGCAUUAAAAUGGCAUCCAGACAAGAAUCCGGAUAAUUUAGAAGAGGCAAAUAAAAGAUUCAAGGAAAUCUCAGAAGCUUAUGAAGUUUUGAGUGACGAUGUGAAGAGACGUACUUACGAUCAACACUUGUAUCAGAGGGCAGCAUCAAAACCCGGCCGUGGAUUCACCUUCCGGAGUUUCUUUGAUUCUCCUUUCCAGCGAUAUUUCGAAAAGAAGAGACGCGUUUACGAUCAGUAUGGCAAGGAAGGUCUUCAAAUGCCUGGAGGCAAACGACGCCAUGGAGAUGAUUUCGAUUCACACUUUGGCACAUUCGUUUUUAGAGAUCCUGAGGAAGUAUUUAGAGAAUUUUUCGAUGGGAUACCGUUUGAAGAUUUAUUUGCCGGUUUUCAUGGCGGUGGUUCCCGGAGAGGUGCUGGAGGGAGACAUGGUCAUUCGACUAAUAACAGUCUGAGUACUUCUUUCUUUGGACCCUUUGGAUUUGGUUUUCGUUUGCCGUUUGAUGAUCUAAUGGGAAAUGCUAGUGCCGCAGGAAACUUUACCUCCUUUGGUACCUCCUUUACCAGUUUCGAUGGAAUGGGUGGAGGCGCUGCUGUAAAGCGUACUAGUACUUCGACUCGUUUCAUUGAUGGAAAGAAGAUUACAACCAAAAAAGUCUAUGAAAAUGGAAAAGAAACAAUAAUGUCUUAUGAAAAUGAUGUACUGAAAUCGAAGACAGUGAACGGCGUACCACAGUCAAUAACGUACAGUUAAAACACAUCUCAUUCGCUCGAUCUCUCCUUGGCAAUUGAGAAAUUCCUGUCGUCACGAUUCAAACAUCUGUUCGACGAAGCAUCGACGAGUCGUCAAGUCUGUGAGAACAGCCACGAUAACACGAUGGGUAGCCACAAUUCAAACGCGAUCCACAGCGACUAUCUAAAAGCUAGCAGAAUAAAGACGCAUCAUCAUCCGCACACGAGUAAGAAGCACGAUAGAAGUAAGAAGAAAUAAUUUACUUCGCUCUUGUCUCAAGUUCCUUGUAUAUCAAGUUGACUAGUGUGCGCUUCUGAUGUACUUGACAAAUUUGGUUCCAAGGGUAAAUUUUCAUCUUAUCAAUAUUAUUCCACUAUCCAUUAUUACUUGACAAAAAUCCAUAAAUUGAUAAGCAAAAAGAAUGUCGCUAAUCUAUGUACGAAUUAAGAAGGAAAGAAUAACAUACUAUAUAGACGAUCAUAAUUGAUUCACGCGAUUUGUAAACAAUAAAAUUUAUUUAAAGAAAA